CCGGUGGCCGUACUGCUCGGAAGGGAUUGGCCCGGCUUCGAGAAGCUGCUGUCCGCCGCUACUCAGCCUGCCAGCCCCAAGGGGAACCAUCGAAGACCGAGGCGGCCGCCUGGACCCCGCCGCCGACCGGCCCUGCUCGUCUCCGACAGUGGGAGAGAAGGUGAGGCCCCCUCCCAAUCUACUAAUCUGUUUUAUGAUGUCUACCAACAGGUGGCUGGAGGGGGCUCUUUCGACCAAGGAACAGCGGGAGGACGACCGACUCAAGCACUGUUGGAGCCAGGUGCGAGACGUGGAUGGAGCGGACGUCCUCCCCCGGCCCCACCCUCUCCCACAUUUUGUCGUAGAGAAUGGCCUGCUGUAUUGUGUCGCCCAGCGCAGGGGUGAGGAGAAAAAGUUACUAGUUGUGCCUCGAGCCAAGACCGAGACCAUUCUAGAGCUGGCCCAUUCCCACCCCAUGGCAGGACACCUCGCGGCAGCCAAUACUGCUCAACGCAUCCGCGACCGCUUCCAUUGGCCGGGCCUGGAUGCCGAGGUAAAGCGGUUCUGCCAAGCCUGCCCGACCUGUCAGGCCACGUCGCCCCGGACUCCUCCCCCCCAGCCCGCUCAUCCCGCUGCCUAUCAUCGAGGUGCCCUUCGAGCGGAUUGGAAUGGACAUAGUGGGGCCGUUGCCGAAGUCUGCCCGAGGGCAUGAGCACAUCCUGGUCAUAGUCGACAAUGCCACCCGGGACCCAGAAGCACUCCCCCUGCGGAAGGCCACCGCGAAGUCCAUCACCCAGGAGCUGUUUCUGCUGGCCAGCCGAGUCGGCCUCCCCUCGGAGGUCCUGACUAACCAGGGAACCCCCUUCAUGUCCCGGCUAAUGGCGGACCUCUGCCGGCUGCUGCGAGUAAGGCAUUUGAGGACCACUGUUUAUCACCCCCAAACUGAUGGCCUCUUAGAGAGAUUUAACCAGACCCUCAAGCAAAUGCUCAGACGUGUGGCGGCGGAGGACAAGCGGGAUUGGGACCUCAUGAUCCCCUACGUGCUCUUUGGGAUCCGCAAAGUUCCCCAGGCCUCAACUGGCUUCACCCCCUUCGAGCUCCUGUUUGGCCGUCAACCCCGGGGCAUCAUGGACGUAGCCCGGGAAGCGUAGGAGCAGCAGCCGGCCCCUCAUCGUACCGUCAUCGAACAUGUCAGGCAAAUGAGGGAACGGAUCGACCGAGUGAUGCUGUUAGUCCGGGAACACCUCACCAGGGCCCAGCAAGCGCAGCAACACCAUUACGACCGGGCAGCCCAACCACGGGAGUUCCAACCGGGAGACAGCGUCAUGGUCCUGGUCCCCAGCUCCGCCUGCAAAUUUCUGGCCUCCUGGAAGGGACCCUCUACACGGUCGUGGAGAGGAUUGGACCGGUCACUUACCGCCUGAGACAGCCGGGAUGACGGCAGGCGGAGCAACUCUACCACAUCAACCUCCUAAAGAAAUGGGUGGGGACCCGGGACCAAGUAGCUGCCCUGAGCCUCACCGAGCCCGUGGUUGUGGAUGUCAACCCCCACCUUUCGGCUGCCCAGAAGACGGAGCUGCAGCACCUGGUCAGUCAGUUCCAGGAUGUGUUCUCCUCGCAGACCAACGUGCUUCAACACCACAUCCGGACGCCCCCAGGAGUCGUCGUUAGGCAACGGCCCUACCGAGUCCCGGAGGCUCGUCGGCAAGCUAUUGAGGAAGAGGUCCAACAGAUGCUAAAGUUGGGGGUAAUAGAACAGUCCCGGAGUCCGUGGUCCAGCCCCAUUGUGGUGGUCCUAAAGCCGGAUGGCACCCUCCGCUUUUGUAAUGACUUCCGCCGCCUGAACGAAGUCUCCGAAUUCGACGGGUACCCCAUGCCUCGGGUGGAUGAACUGCUGGACCAGCUAGGAAGGGCCUGGUAUAUCAGCACCCUAGACCUCACCAAGGGCUAUUGGCAGGUACCGCUCUCCGAGGCCGCCAAGCCGAAAACCGCCUUCUCCACCCCCAGUGGCCACUGGCAGUACCGGACCCUUCCCUUCAGGCUACAUGGGGCCCCCGCGACGUUCCAGCGGAUGAUGGACAUCCUCCUGCGGCCUCACCAAGCUUACGCGGCUGCCUACCUGGAUGACGUCGUGGUCCACUCCGAGGCGUGGGACGAACAUCUGGAUCAUCUGCGGAGGGUCCUCUCGGAGCUCCGGCGGGCUGGACUUACUGCCAACCCCCGAAAAUGCCACCUAGCCCUCUCUGAGGCCAAGUUACCUGGGCUACCAAGUCGGCCGAGGACUCAUCCGGCCGCAAGACAAGAAAAUUGAAGCCAUCCACGCCGCCCCAAGACCCGAGACAAAGACACAGGUACGAGCCUUCUUGGGGUUGGCGGGUUAUUACCGUUGUUUUAUCCCCAACUUCUUCUCUUUAGCCGCCCCCCUGACAGACCUGACCAGGAAGGGGCAGCCGGAGAAAGUAUGCUAGACCCCGUCGGCGGAAGAAGCCUUCUCCCAGGUGAAAGCAGCACUCACGUCCUCGCCGGUACUCCGCGCCCCGGACUUUAGCUGCCCCCUCCUGCUGCAGACGGAUGCUUCCAACACAGGACUAGGAGCGGUCCUCUCCCAAAUUCAGGAAGGUGAGGAGCAUCCGAUCAUCUACAUCAGCAGGAAGCUGUCCCCCACCGAGAGGAAGUACGCCGCCAUGGAGAAGGAAGCCCUGGCCACCAGGUGGGCAGUCCUGGAGCUCCGGUACUACCUCCUGGGCCGAAAGUUCACCCUGGUAACCGACCACGCGCUCGCUGGUUCCUAGCGCUCCAGGACUUCCACUUCGAAGUCAAAGUCGAACGCCGAUGGCCUCUCCCGGAUCUGGACAGCUUAUGCAGGUCUGUCAGGGGUCAUUCCCCACCCUCCCCUAAUUUCACCCCUACUUUCUACAUGUCUUCGCAGGACCAGAACGACACUUGGGGGGGGGGGGGGUGAGGAGCACUCCCAGAGGAAUCAGCGUCACCCUGGAAACCAAAGCAAAACACCUGCACGUCCUCGUCACCGGCUGAUCGGUCACAGCUGCUCCCCAUCAGCCAGCACAUUUAAAAGGAGCACAUGUUACACUCAGAAGAGGUUCUUGAACCGAAUGCAACGCUGGUCUAACCCCUCUCUCUUCACUUUUCAGAAAGCAGCGAGUGACCGACAGGCCAGCCGUUUUGGAGCACGUUUGGACACCCACUUUCACCUUAACUGGCACAGAAAAGCACGAAGAGCACACGGAAAGCACCGGCCACCAGAAAGCGGAGCAGCACCUUUCACCAGGCAUCACUGUGUUAAUAAAUCCACCCUCCGGGGCUUUUGAUUUCACGUACCUCUUGUCGAGUGAUUCUUCACCCCGUGACACAACGUUGAAAGCUCAGCCAAGAUGAAGGAACAGCUGAUAGCUGUAUGUGGAUUUUUUAAUUAAUUUAGUACCAGUGCUACUGCAAGCAGUUUUUAGUGCUGCAAAUUCAUUUAUCCAUUGCUGAAAUUUCUGCGUCUUCGUAGAGAGAGCAGGUCAUGGUUGCUUAGCAACGGCAGACUCCUCAGGAGCGCAAGUAACCGAAGGCUUUGGGGGAAAAAAUCAGAAAGUGGCAUGCCUAGCGUUUUCCACGCGUUUUUAGACGCGAUAUGUGAAUAGCCCCUUAAUGUACGAAAACUCCUGCUUAAUACAAAGAGUGACGAUGGCGGAAACAGUAGAACGUUCUAAAGUGUGGUUAUACUUCACUAGAGUUGAUGCAGACAACGCUGGUUGUCAUAAGUGCAACAACAUUUUUGCAUAUAAGGGCGGAAACACAAGCAAUCUGUCAAAGCAUCUUUCAAAAGUGCAUUAUGUGCAGACAGAGAAAAAUGCUAAAUUUUCGACUGCCUAACACAAUUUCAAAGUACCGAUAAGAAUACCGUUAAAGUACCGGACCGUUAAGCAGUACCGGUAAGAGUAGUAAUACCGUUAAAACCUUAACGAUAUCCUUCCCUAUUCACCACGCCUACCUACACCGGCCAGGUGCCUUGGGGGGACGAAAUGACCAUCUCACGGGCCGGUACUUGGCGAGUGUCUCCGUGCACACAGGUAAUGUGAAGUGACAUUGAAGUGACAUUCAGCCAAGUAUGGUGACCCAUACUCAGAAUUUGUGCUCUGCAUUUAACCCAUCCGAAAUGCACACACACAGAGCAGUGAACACACACACUGUGAGCACACACCCGGAGUAGUGGGCAGCCAUUUAUGCUGCGGCGCCCGGGGAGCAGUUGGGGGUUCAGUGCCUUGCUCAAGGGCACCUAAGUCGUGGUAUUGAAGGUGGAGAGAGAACUGUACAUGCACUCCCCCCACCCACAAUUCCGUCCGGCCUGAGACUAGAACCCACAACCCUUCGAUUGGGAGUCCAAUCUAACCAUUAGGCCACGACUUCCCCGGUAGGAAGGUAGGAAGUUUUUCCGGCCGCUUCGUGGGGCACCCGGGGCUUGUAUUCCAAUUCGUGGAACUGCUGGGCGGCGUAUACAGGGGAGAGGCCCAGCCUCGCCAGGAUCUCUCGCUUAACUUCGGCAUAACUGUUGGCAGUUGUCAAGGUGAGCGAGAAGUAAGCCUUCUGUGCUUCACCGGUGAGGAGGGGUGCCAGCGCAUGUGCCGACUCGUGUUUUCGAAGACCUGAAGGAAGGCCUCCACAUCGUCAUCGGCUGUCAUCUUGGGUAAUAGGCGGGUGGCUUGUGCCAGAGGCUCAGGUAAUGGAACGCGCUGGGCUACAGCUCACUUCAGUGAGGCGUUGUAAGACGUCCUCCAUCAUCGGGACGCGCACGCCGCCUUCCGUGGUGCUGGUGACACAAACAGGGAAAGAGGGAAAAAAAAUUAGGAGUUGGGACGGUGAUCUUGCGGUAGUUCUUCACUGUUCUGCCUGCAUUCUCCACCACUGUCACGUGGUGAAGGACCACUCGUCAAGAGGUGCGUGAAAUCAAAAGCCCCGGAGGGUGGGUUUAAUAAAUAUUGUGGGGUGCCUGGUGAAAUGUGCUGCUCCGCUUUCUGGUGGCCGGUGCUUCCCAUAUGCUCUCCGUGCUCUUCGGUGCCAGUUAAGGUGAAAGUGGGUGUCCCUACGUGCUCCAAAGUGGGUGGGCUGUCGGUCACUCGCUGCUUUCGCUGCUAAAACAAGCCAUCAUAUUCAAUACAGCUUCUCUGUCAGUGAGAGAAUGUUGCUUUUUACAAUGUUAAGUGCAAAACCGGCCAACAUGAAAGAUCUCUCUGACAAAUGAACUGUGUUUUUUGCAAUGCAGAAACACAGUUUUUAAUGUGCUAGACUUUCAACAAGAACUCCAACUGAUACGACCGUAUAGGUCGUUUGUCACUAUCCUCAAAUACGACACAUACGAGCGUUCUCUAAAUUAGCGCCCCUAUUGGCAAUAGGAGAUAUGAUAUAUAAACUUUCGCCUAAAUGCAUUGUGGGUUUAUUUAAUAUGUUUGCUAUUUGCGUUUUGAAUUGUUUAUUUUAAACUCUCCCAGAUGUUCGAAAUGUUUUGCUAAAAAUAUAUGGAUUUUAGAUGACUUUGAGACAUGUACAGGUAGGGUUUCCACAUGUCUCAAAGUAGUUGAUCAUUUAUGAAUAAGAGUUUUUAUUUUCAAAUCGAUACAACCAGUUUGACAUCCAGAUCAUUCAAUCGAACUCUGCAGCAUUAUAAAGUUAGUUUUCAUAGUGAUAUUUGAAUAGUAGAAUAAUAAAGCUUGAAGAGACAGCUUUCUUCACCCUUAUUUUGUUACAUUUAAACACAAGACUCUGCCUUUCUCAGUCUGUUUCUCUUCUUCUUAGUCCUUUACUCCCUUCACUCACACAUUCUCUUUUGUUCUGUUGUAAGGUACAAACAGAGCGGAUGGUUGCAUGAUGGCCUCUUUCAGUUUUGUCAACUUAACGUCUACUAGUGAGGCUCAGCAAGUUCAUGUCAUGAUCACCUCUCUCCAAGAAAGCUGAAGAGCAAAAACACAAAGAACAUCAGUCCUGUUGGGGAUGAGGAAUGAACAUGGCUUUAUUGUGCCAAAACGGAAAAGACUGAAAAGCUGCUCAUUCUCAUUGAAAGACUGCAUCGAGAGGUACAGUAGAAGGAAAGCUGACACUGAAAACAUUUGUCUUCAAUGACAUGGUCCAGACUAAAGAGAAGCGGGUCUGAGGCCAGAAAUGGAGGAGUCAAUAGUCACCAAGUGCAGCGCUGCAGCCUGAAACUGUGUAGACUACAUUCCCAAACAGCUCUGUAACAGCACAGAUGUUACACCCAUAAAAGAAACUUCUCAACUGAGAGCCCAUACCUCCAACAACCUUCAACAGGAAUCAGUGGACAUCUACGCAAGGUUUUUCUUUUGUUGAGGACCGUCAGAGACUCCAGCCACACAAGCCAUGGAUUGCUCUCACCGUUUCCACCAGACAGACAUUUAUCACAGAACCAGCACCAGCAGACUGCAAGACAAGUUCCUUCCACAGGCAAUCAAACUGAACUGAACUCGUACCAGUAACACCACACACACACACACACACACACACACACCAGCAGCAUCAUUCUGCACCCUGACAUUCUGUUUGCAGUAAUUCAUACUACUCUACAGUAUACACUGUAUACAGUAUACAGUGAUUGUUGUUUUUCAUUUAGUAUUGCACUAUAUUUUCUAACUGUAUUGAGCCCUUAUGUAUACUGUGUAUAUAUUUAAUACUGUAUAUGUGUUGCAAAUAUAUUCAGUACUUGUCAUGCUGUCAUGCUGCACAAAAGUUUACACAAAAGCAUUUCAUCACCUGUAUACCUGUAUUCAUGGUAUUGUGAUUAAUAAGGUGAUUUGAUUUGAAUUGGUCUCUUGAUUUGUUAAUCAGUUGUUCUGUUGUGCUGGAUAACAAUUGCAAAUUGUUUAUGACAUUGAAGAAGAUUAUGAUAGGGACAUGGAUUUGAAGAAACCAGGAGAGCUCUGAUGAUGAGAAUGAAACUGUCAUGAUUCUGCCCUCGUGUCCUUGAUUUUUUCCUAGGCUUGAGGCAGGAUCAUGACAGACCCGUGUUUUGUGUACAAGCACAUGGCCUUGUCUUUGGGCCAUGUGCUGGUGUUGUCUCGUUCCCUUGCCCCGCCCCCUUGUUAUUCUAGUUUUGUCGUGAUUGCCUUACCUGUGCCACCUGUUGUGUCUUGAUUAGUCUUCUUAUUUAUAUCCCCUAGUGUGCUCUUGUGCGGUUCAUUGUGUUUCUAUAUGUAAGAAUGUUAUAUUGUUACCCAUUGAAGAUACGUUGUCUAGCUUGUGAUUGUUUAUCUGUAGAGUUAGUGUUCUUGUGUUAAGAGUCUUUGUUUAUCGUGUCAACCUAGUCCUGUUAAGUUAUUUAGUCUCUGCCCUAGUUGUUGUUUUCCCCCUCGUGGGUUUUGUUUUUCCCCGUUUUUGCCUGUAAUAAACUGCCUGUGUAGUGAUUCCUGUCUGCGCUUGAGUUCCUCCCUUGCCAAACCCUGACAGAAACUGGAUGUGAUUCUUUGGUGCUCAAGACAUUUCACCAUGUCUUCAUCUGGGUUUCUUCAUUUGAUUAAAAUAGUAUGCUUUUAACAUGACCCGUUUUUAUUUCACUUGAAUAUCAUUUGUCUUAAUAUGCUACUUAAUCUGUCUUUAUGCUGCAUUCUAGUAAAAUAUUGCAUAUGGUGUUGGAUAAUAAAGUAUGGUUAAUAUUCUGUACUAGGGAUGGUUUUUGGUAGAUACACAAUUUAAUUUUGUAAACAACACAUAUAAUCACCAUGGUUGUUUUGAUUAAGACAUGAACAACUGAACUUCAUGCACAAAUGAAGGUGAUGAAUCAAGGAAAGAUCAACAUGAUUCCUGUUCUGUAUUAUAAUGAAGAUGAUCAUGCAUAUUACUGAUGUUUAGCACCCGAGGAGGACAAAGAUCUGACAUUCUUAACAGAGAUUUAUGAGUUAGGUCUUUUAUAUUAUGAUUUUUGUAUUGCAUGAAUUGUAUGGCUUUUGCACCAUAAACUGCAAACUGUAACACAGUGUCUCACUGAAUGACACAUUGGCCUUGUGUGAUGAAGUGUCAGAAUAUGUAUUUGUUUUUGUUUACUAUUAGCACUUUAUUAUUGCUCUUGAUCUUAUUAAAUAAAUUGAGCCCUUUCCAAA
Carassius gibelio (silver crucian carp) is the source of this 8087-nucleotide long non-coding RNA. RefSeq lists it as uncharacterized. NCBI's taxonomy places the organism in Eukaryota, Metazoa, Chordata, Actinopteri, Cypriniformes, Cyprinidae. The record is from RefSeq and is a predicted model, not a curated record. The transcript is spliced from 4 exons.